GCUGAAAUACCUCAAUCUGGUGAUCUCAAGACACGAAGAAGAAAGGGAAGUCCCUCUUCCUCAAAAGAAUGCUGACACCUGGCCAGCAUGGUAACAUCAGG
Lemur catta (Ring-tailed lemur) is the source of this 101-nucleotide long non-coding RNA. RefSeq lists it as uncharacterized. The record is from RefSeq and is a predicted model, not a curated record. Lineage: Eukaryota; Metazoa; Chordata; Mammalia; Primates; Lemuridae. The transcript has 3 exons.